UAUUUUUUUAAUUAUUUUAAUUUUAAAAUCAUUAGUUUCAAUAAUUAUUUAUAAUAUUAUAUUGAUUGAUAAUUAACGGCUAAUAAAUUAUUAAUUAAUUAGCGUAAUUAAUUAAAUUUAAAAACAAUGGGGAUAGAGCUAUGACCGAGAUAUAGGAGCAGAGAUCUAAAGAUCCCAGGAAGAAUAAUCGAUGGCAGAGAUGUUGAGUGAUGGUCCCGUCUGCCCAGGGAACACAAUCAAUGACCGAGACGGUGAGCCUUGACCGCUGCGCUCACCUCAGUCCAGGAGAAACAGUCCUCGGACUGAGACGGUGGGUGGGGAUCGUCUUUUUCCAAGUUUUAUUACAAGCAGAGUUUGAAAUGCGGGACUUUCCAUUCCACCCUCUGGCCCAGGAAUGCUUUGCUGGCCCAGAGAGUCAAGAUUUCCUGGCAGAGGGAGCUCCUGAGAAUAUGGUUGAGCAGGGAAUAGAUCAAGCUUGUUUUGUUUGGCGCGGGGGUUGGGGGGGCGGUGGGCUCCUAUAAUUCCCUUCAUAGCUCGGUGGUAAAGAAACCUCGUGCAAUGCAGGAGGCCCGGGUUCGAUCCCUGGGUCGGGAAGAUGCCCUGGAGGAGGGCAUGGCAACCCACUGCAGUAUCCUUGUCUGGAGAAUCCCAGGGAGAGCGGAGCCUGGCGGGGCUACAGCCCAUGGGGUCGCACAAUCGGACGCGACCGAGCACACACUCCUGGUAUGGAAACAAACGGGUGCUUUGUGCAGCCUGUAUGGUCUUUUACGAAGCUCCUCCCCUGAGACCUUGUAUCCCUCUAAGAUCGCCGGCUCUGAUGAUGCGGUUGCCCGGCAGUUUGCUAACGCUGGGUGUGUUUACACUGCUGGAUUUCCCGUCCAGGGUCCUCAAACUCCACACGUGGCGACAGGCCUCUGACAGGACCCCACCUCUGACGGCAGGACAGCUGCUUUGCAGACUUGAAACGAAGCACCACCGCCCGAGAGUCUGUUCACGUCCUAUGAAUGAAGCAUCGCUGUGAUUUCAAAAAUGAAGACCCGUUCACGACAUCCUCACCUGGUGUCUUUCUCGUCCUCCCGGGGAGCCUGAGGCAGUUCUUAUGAUGACCAGCUGCUCUGGAGACAGCAUCCGCCAGUAAUCUCAUCGUUAUGGGAGUAACUCAAGUUUUCCAUACUCGGGAAAACAAUGCAGUGAUUCAGCUUUCCCAGCAAAAUCGAAUAAGACCCAAAGACAAACGGUGAUCCAUUAAAAAAAAAACAACUUAGAUGUCCUAAGGAGCUUUUAGUAAAACUACUGAAAAAGUUGAAAGUGAUGCAUAAAAAUUCUAGAAAUAUUAGCUUUAAAUUUGAUCGAUUUAAAAUGGUGGUUUAGUUGCUAAGUCGUGUCUGACUCUGGGGAUCCCAUGGACUGUAGCCCACCAGGCUCCUCUGCCCAAGGGAUUCUCCAAGCAAAAAUACUGGAGUGGGUUGCCAUUUCCUUCACUAGGGGAUCUUCUUGUCCUAGGGAUUGAACCCGGGUCUCCCUGCAUUGCAGGCCGAUUCUUUACAGUCUGAGCCACCAAGGAAGUUGGAAUGUCCAUUAAUGUAUGUAGUUCACGGAGUGGCAAAGAGUUGGACACAACUUAGUCACUGAACCACAAAAUUAAUGUAAGUUAUAUUUAUUUUCAUACUUUAGUUUUCACUAAAGUUUUGCUUCUAGGCAAAAGGCAAAACAAACUUUUCACCAUCAAGGAAAUUUUGUUUUUAAAAGGGAAGGCUGAGAAGAGGAGUUUAUGGGAUACUUCCAAAAUAUGGUGUAUAUAAUUAAAUGUGAUUGUUUAGAGGGUAUUAGGUCGUGCUUACGGGAAAAAGGAUCAGCUUUCUCAUAGUUUGUUACAUAGAAAACCCACAAA
Bos indicus x Bos taurus (hybrid cattle) is the source of this 1891-nucleotide long non-coding RNA. The record is from Ensembl. Lineage: Eukaryota; Metazoa; Chordata; Mammalia; Artiodactyla; Bovidae.